RNAcentral lists this ribosomal RNA (402 nucleotides) under uncultured Blastocatella sp. RNAcentral's name for it is "bacterial SSU rRNA". It matches the Rfam family "Bacterial small subunit ribosomal RNA", at positions 353 to 772 of the family's 1533-position model. The record is from RNAcentral. Lineage: Bacteria; Pseudomonadati; Acidobacteriota; Blastocatellia; Blastocatellales; Blastocatellaceae.
AGUCGGGAAUUUUGGGCAAUGGGCGAAAGCCUGACCCAGCAACGCCGCGUGAAGGAUGAAGUAUUUCGGUAUGUAAACUUCGAAAGAAUGGGAAGAAUAAAUGACGGUACCAUUUAUAAGCUCCGGCUAACUACGUGCCAGCAGCCGCGGUAAUACGUAGGGAGCAAGCGUUGUUCGGAUUUACUGGGCGUAAAGGGCGCGUAGGCGGCGCUGUAAGUCAGCUGUGAAAUCUCCGAGCUUAACUCGGAACGGCCAGCUGAUACUGCAGUGCUAGAGUGCAGAAAGGGCAAUCGGAAUUCUUGGUGUAGCGGUGAAAUGCGUAGAUAUCAAGAGGAACACCUGAGGCGAAGGCGGGUUGCUAGGCUGACACUGACGCUGAGGCGCGAAAGCCAGGGGAGCAAA